UACGAAGGGAGCUAGCGUUGUUCGGAAUUACUGGGCGUAAAGGGCGCGUAGGCGGCCUUGUAAGUCAGAUGUGAAAGCCCCGGGCUUAACCUGGGAACUGCAUUUGAAACUGCAAGGCUAGAGGAUGAGAGAGGAAAGUGGAAUUACGAGUGUAGAGGUGAAAUUCGUAGAUAUUCGUAAGAACACCAGUGGCGAAGGCGGCUUUCUGGCUCAUAUCUGACGCUAAGGCGCGAAAGCGUGGGGAGCAAACAGG
RNAcentral lists this ribosomal RNA (253 nucleotides) under uncultured bacterium. RNAcentral's name for it is "partial 16S ribosomal RNA". It matches the Rfam family "Bacterial small subunit ribosomal RNA", at positions 524 to 776 of the family's 1533-position model. The record is from RNAcentral.